This 1953-nucleotide ribosomal RNA is filed under the name human metagenome. Its description in RNAcentral is "bacterial LSU rRNA". It matches the Rfam family "Bacterial large subunit ribosomal RNA", at positions 1 to 1980 of the family's 2925-position model. The record is from RNAcentral.
UUAAAUUAGUAAGAGCGUACGGUGGAUGUCUUGGCAUAUAGAGCAGAAGAAGGACGCAGAUAACGGCGAAACGCCUCGGGGAGUCGUACACAGGCAACGAUCCGGGGGUAUCCGAAUGGGGAAACCCGAUAAAGUUGAAAAGCUUUAUCAUCCUUAAGCCAAUACAUAACUUAAGAGAAGGCAACCCAGGGAAUUGAAACAUCUUAGUACCUGGAGGAGAAGAAAAUAACAAUGAUUCCGAGAGUAGUGGCGAGCGAAAUCGGAGCAGCCCAAACCAGCAACGAGCUGGGGUAGUAGGACCACGACAAGUGAUUGAAAAGAGAUAGUCGAAUGGCAUUGAAAGGUCAGCCGCAGAAGGUGCAAGCCCUGUAGGCGAAAUCUCGAUUCACGCGAGUGGGAUCCUGAGUACGUCGGAGCACGUGAAACUCUGACGGAAUCGACCGGGACCAUCCGGUAAGGCUAAAUACUCCUAUAUGACCGAUAGUGAACCAGUACCAUGAGGGAAAGAUGAAAAGAACCGCGGGAGCGGAGUGAAAUAGAUCCUGAAACCGUAUGCUUACAAAAAGUCAGAGCACAUUAAGGUGUGAUGGCGUGCCUUUUGUAGAAUGAACCGGCGAGUUAUCUUUACAUGCGAGGUUAAGCAGACAAUGCGGAGCCGUAGCGAAAGCGAAUCUUAAUAGGGUGGCAAGUAUGUAGAGAUAGACCCGAAGCCGUAGUGAUCUAGUCAUGAGCAGGUUGAAGGCUGGGUGAAUCCAGCUGGAGGACCGAACCGACCCCCGUUGAAAAGUUGGCGGAUGACUUGUGAUUAGCGGAGAAAUUCCAAUCGAACACGGCGAUAGCUGGUUCUCCCCGAAAUAGCUUUAGGGCUAGCGUUGAACGAAUCUACCCGGAGGUAGAGCACUGAAAUCAUGCGGGCGGCAUCUCGCCGUACCAAAUGAUAUCAAACUCCGAAUGCCGGGCAAGAAUAUUCAGCAGUCAGACUGUGGGUGAUAAGGUCCAUGGUCAAAAGGGAAACAGCCCAGAUCAUCAGAUAAGGUCCCAAAAUUUACGCUAAGUGGAAAAGGAUGUGGAGACGCGCAAACAGCUAGGAGGUUGGCUCAGAAGCAGCCAUCCUUCAAAGAGUGCGUAACAGCUCACUAGUCGAGUAUCUCUGCGCCGAAAAUUAACCGGGGCUAAGCGUAAUACCGAAUCUAUGGAUUUAUACUUAGGUAUAAGUGGUAGGGGAGCGUUCCAUACAGCAUUGAAGGUAUACCGUAAGGAGUGCUGGAGCGUAUGGAAGUGAGAAUGCCGGUGUGAGUAGCGAGAUGUGGGUGAGAAUCCCACACACCGAACAACCAAGGUUUCCAGGGGAAGGUUCGUCCGCCCUGGGUAAGUCGGGACCUAAGGCCAGGCCGAAAGGCGUAGUCGAUGGACAGCAGGUUGAUAUUCCUGCACCCGCGAGUAAAGUGAUGGAGUGACAGAUAGGGUUAACCCAAGUCCUUAAUGGAUUGGGCAAGGCAAGCAGGAGAGUGGCGUAGGCAAAUCCGCGCCGGAUACUCAAAGGCUUGACUCAAGCGAACGCGCGAGCAAGUAGUGAAGAGGGCGAUACCAGGUCUCAAGAAAAGCUUCUAGCGAUAAUUUACUAGCGGCCCGUACCAAAACCGACACAGGUGGUUGAGGCGAGUAGCCUAAGGUGAGCGAGAGAACUGUUGCCAAGGAACUCGGCAAAUUGACCCCGUACGUUAGCAAUAAGGGGUGCUCGAAAGAGCCGCAGUGAAUAGGCCCUAGCAACUGUUUAACUAAAACAUAGCUCUCUGCGAAGUCGCAAGACGAAGUAUAGGGGGUGACACCUGCCCGGUGCUGGAAGGUCAAGGGGAUUUGUCAGACGCAAGUCGAAGCAUUGAACCGAAGCCCCAGUGAACGGCGGCCGUAACUAUAACGGUCCUAAGGUAGCGAAAUUCCUUGUCGGGUAAG